Molecule: transfer RNA, 73 nt
Filed under: Vannella simplex
Lineage: Eukaryota; Discosea; Flabellinia; Vannellidae
Description: tRNA-Glu
Rfam family: tRNA
About the family: Transfer RNA (tRNA) molecules are approximately 80 nucleotides in length. Their secondary structure includes four short double-helical elements and three loops (D, anti-codon, and T loops). Further hydrogen bonds mediate the characteristic L-shaped molecular structure. tRNAs have two regions of fundamental functional importance: the anti-codon, which is responsible for specific mRNA codon recognition, and the 3' end, to which the tRNAs corresponding amino acid is attached (by aminoacyl-tRNA synthetases). tRNAs cope with the degeneracy of the genetic code in two manners: having more than one tRNA (with a specific anti-codon) for a particular amino acid; and 'wobble' base-pairing, i.e. permitting non-standard base-pairing at the 3rd anti-codon position.
Source: RNAcentral
UAUCUCUUAGUUUAAUAGGUUAAAACAUUGCUCUUUCAAAGCAAGAAUAUAGGUUCAAGUCCUAUAGAGUGAA